Molecule: long non-coding RNA, 1076 nt
Filed under: Pogona vitticeps (central bearded dragon)
Lineage: Eukaryota; Metazoa; Chordata; Lepidosauria; Squamata; Agamidae
Description: lncRNA (ENSPVIG00000005010.1)
Source: RNAcentral
AAAGAACCAGGUUUACAGGUAAAUAACCUGUUCUUCUUUAACGUGGUUCACACACACACAACACACACAAACGACAAAGAGCCGAUUCCCUACUUUCUCUGGAACUUACAGUCCCAAGGAAAAAAAAAUAACAUUUUUGGGCACUACCUCCUGCAAAACUAUUGUUCCCACUGGCCAUGCGCUGCUGGUCCAGAGCGACCUUGCUGCGCAUGCUGGAGGUUCCAGGGCACAGCGGCAGCCGCGGUCUGCUGUCAAAAGGGCAGCUGCUGAUGCUGCAGAAGUAGUGAGGAGGCCCCUGCAAAACAAAUCCAGGGGGGCCAUUUCCCCCCCCAUCUGCCGUCCGGUCUGCGUGCAACGUCCUUGCUGGUCAGAAGGCAAAUGCACCGUUUCCUGCGAGUGUUUUCCUCCUCCAGCAGCAGAGGAUUGCAAUUGCCUUGCGCACAAGCACACACCUUGGCGAGAGGCGAAGCCCAAGGCCUGGGCAGCCCUCUUGGUUGCCAUAUGCUGUGGGUGGCGUGUUCAGGGCGGCCGUGGGUGUCCUGGGAAGGGGGGGGCACUUAAAGACGUUCAGUCUCCUGGCAGCGAGGCCAGGAUCGGAAGUGGUCCCCCAGGCCGUUUCAGCGAUCCCCCCCCCCCCAGCCAGGCUGCUCACGGGAGUCCAAACGUACAGGUAGCUGGACUGAUCCAGUAUACCAAUACACCAGUUCUAGCCAAUCCCAUCUCCAACAGAACCAGAUAUUUUGUAAGGGGUCUUGUGUACCAGACAAAGCCCCCCCAAUCCAUUGCAUUGCAUUUUCUUUGUUUUUUGUGUGUGCUGUUGAUCCCUUUCUGACUUCUGCUAUAAAUUAAUGAAUUAACAGCCCUUGUUAGCACGAGGCCAUGGCUUCCUUCAAGGAAUCAAUCCAUCUCACAUUUCAGUCGUCCUCUUUUCCUGCUCUUCAACGUGCUGAAAAAAACUCACCCCCAACAGCUGCCUCUUCCUCUCACCUCAGAGGGAACCAGGAAGCCUCGAAAGGAGUGGGUGAGAAACCAUUCACGUCACUUCAAAACAAAACAAAACAAAAAAAACAGCUACU